AUGCGUACACUGCGGCCGAACGUGUUCGUGUCACCGCGAACGCACCGCGUACACCAACUCUGUUGAAUCGAUCUCAGCUUUUCCGAGAAUAAAAGAAGAAGUGUGAGGCAAACAGGAAGAAACGUCCCACUAAACAAAACCGGAGAGAGAGAGAGAGAGAGAGAGGAGCUCGGGGGGUUGGCGUUCGGUCACGGCUCCGGUCUGCGAGGCGAGAUCAUAGCGUGAACGCCGGCAAUCGUGUCAGCCCUUCACUGCUGCUCCAAACGAGAAGCGCAAGAACUGGGAUGGGUGAUGGGAAAGUGUUCAGGAAUGUCACGUACAGUACUUCAGGAGAGAAAGAGCAGCAAAAGCGUGUCAUUCACCAGAUUCACUUAUGGUAAAAAGGAAUCACUCUUAAAGCAUGUGCCACUUGGAAGAGAAGCACCGCCCAGCACCCUACAGGGUGGCGGUGGACCGUGCUGUCGUUGUUUUCAAUAGAGGCCGUUGCCAGGCGGUGUCCGCUUGUAGUAAUAUCAGGAAAACAGUUUGACCGCAAAAUCUACCAGAGUGUAACAUGAGCGACAGGUCUUCAGUUUCAUAUGUUCCUGUAUCAAUCAUUUCCUGGCGGUGGAAGCAGGCAAUGCCUAGGAGAUGCAGAAAAGAAAUACAUUAGGUUCUCUAUUUGACAAAGUGCCUCCACUCUGCACUUUCUCUAGAGUGCACCUAAGAUCUACAAUCCAUCUUUGGGGGAAAUUCCGGUAAUACAUCAACUCAACUUGUAAUCAAUUUCACUAGUCCCUAAUUCGAACAGCUUUCGUUUUCAAUAUGAGUCUCUUGUGCGAUAUUUUAUCAAAGGCCUUUGAAAAUCUGUACAUUUGUACAUAUGUUUAACAUCUACUGGAUUUCUUCAAUCUAAUAAAUAAGAUGUAUCCUGUAAACAACCAUAAAUUUGGAAGGUAGAUCUCUUAUUUUUUUAUUAUACAGGGUGACCAAAAGUUGAGAUACCAUUACAA
Molecule: long non-coding RNA, 992 nt
Organism: Callorhinchus milii (elephant shark)
Lineage: Eukaryota; Metazoa; Chordata; Chondrichthyes; Chimaeriformes; Callorhinchidae
Exons: 4
Source: RefSeq, a predicted model, not a curated record